CGGACGGGUGAGUAACGCGUGAGAAUCUGCCCUCAGGAGGGGGACAACAGCUGGAAACGGCUGCUAAUACCCCAUAUGCCGAAAGGUGAAACGAUUUUUCGCCUGAGGAUGAGCUCGCGUCUGAUUAGCUGGUUGGUGGGGUAACGGCCUACCAAGGCUUCGAUCAGUAGCUGGUCUGAGAGGACGAUCAGCCACACUGGGACUGAGACACGGCCCAGACUCCUACGGGAGGCAGCAGUGGGGAAUUUUCCGCAAUGGGCGCAAGCCUGACGGAGCAACGCCGCGUGAGGGAUGGAGGCCUUUGGGCUGUAAACCUCUUUUCUCAAGGAAGAAGAUCUGACGGUACUUGAGGAAUAAGCCACGGCUAAUUCCGUGCCAGCAGCCGCGGUAAUACGGGAGUGGCAAGCGUUAUCCGGAAUUAUUGGGCGUAAAGCGUCCGCAGGCGGCCAAGCAAGUCUGUUGUUAAAUCGUGGAGCUCAACUCCAUCACGGCAAUGGAAACUGUUCGGCUUGAGUAUGGUAGAGGCAGAGGGAAUUUCCGGUGUAGCGGUGAAAUGCGUAGAUAUCGGGAAGAACACCAGUGGCAAAAGCGCUCUGCUGGGCCAUUACUGACGCUCAUGGACGAAAGCCAGGGGAGCGAAAGGGAUUAGAUACCCCAGUAGUC
Molecule: ribosomal RNA, 663 nt
Filed under: uncultured cyanobacterium
Lineage: Bacteria; Bacillati; Cyanobacteriota
Description: bacterial SSU rRNA
Rfam family: Bacterial small subunit ribosomal RNA
Source: RNAcentral